CUACGGGUUGCUGCAGUGGGGAAUAUUGGACAAUGGGGGCAACCCUGAUCCAGCAAUACCGCGUGUGUGAAGAAGGCCUUAGGGUUGUAAAGCACUUUCAGAGAAGAAGAAGACAUUAUUGUGAAUAGCGAUGAUAGAUGACGUUAUCCUCAGAAGAAGCACCGGCUAACUCUGUGCCAGCAGCCGCGGUAAUACAGAGGGUGCAAGCGUUAAUCGGAAUUACUGGGCGUAAAGAGUGCGUAGGCGGCUGUACAAGUUGCAUGUGAAAUCCCUGAGCUUAACUUAGGAAUUGCAUGCAAGACUGUACAGCUAGAGGAUAGUAGAGGGUAGCGGAAUUUCCGGUGUAGCGGUGAAAUGCGUAGAUAUCGGAAGGAACACCAGUUGCGAAGGCGGCUACCUGGACUAUAACUGACGCUGAGGCACGAAAGCAUGGGUAGCGAACAGGAUUAGAUACCCGGGUAGUC
This 464-nucleotide ribosomal RNA is filed under the name uncultured bacterium. RNAcentral describes it as "partial 16S ribosomal RNA". It matches the Rfam family "Bacterial small subunit ribosomal RNA", at positions 339 to 795 of the family's 1533-position model. The record is from RNAcentral.